This 76-nucleotide transfer RNA is filed under the name Caudoviricetes sp. Its description in RNAcentral is "tRNA-Thr". It matches the Rfam family "tRNA". From Rfam's summary of the family: Transfer RNA (tRNA) molecules are approximately 80 nucleotides in length. The record is from RNAcentral. Lineage: Duplodnaviria; Heunggongvirae; Uroviricota; Caudoviricetes.
GCCGUUAUAGCUCAACAGGAAGAGCGGCUGAUUUGUAAUCAGCAGGUUGCGGGUUCGAUUCCUGCUGACGGCUCCA